RNAcentral lists this ribosomal RNA (253 nucleotides) under uncultured bacterium. RNAcentral's name for it is "partial 16S ribosomal RNA". It matches the Rfam family "Bacterial small subunit ribosomal RNA", at positions 524 to 776 of the family's 1533-position model. The record is from RNAcentral.
UACGUAGGAGACGAGCGUUGUCCGAAAUUACUGGGCGUAAAGCGCGUGUAGGCGGAUGGGCAAGUCUGCUGUGAAAGCUCCUGGCUUAACCGGGAGUAGUCGGUGGAAACUGCCAAUCUGGAGGACGGUAGAGGUAGGUAGAAUUCCCGGUGUAGUGGUGAAAUGCGUAGAGAUCGGGAGGAAUACCUGUGGCGAAGGCGGCCUACUGGGCCGGACCUGACGCUGAGACGCGAAGGCGUGGGGAGCGAACAGG